Molecule: ribosomal RNA, 253 nt
Filed under: uncultured bacterium
Lineage: Bacteria
Description: partial 16S ribosomal RNA
Rfam family: Bacterial small subunit ribosomal RNA
Source: RNAcentral
UACGGAGGGUGCAAGCGUUAUCCGGAUUCACUGGGUUUAAAGGGUGCGUAGGUGGGCUAGUAAGUCAGUGGUGAAAUCUCCGGGCUUAACCCGGAAACUGCCAUUGAUACUAUCAGUCUUGAAUAUUGUGGAGGUUAGCGGAAUAUGUCAUGUAGCGGUGAAAUGCUUAGAUAUGACAUAGAACACCAAUUGCGAAGGCAGCUGGCUACGCAUAUAUUGACACUGAGGCACGAAAGCGUGGGGAUCAAACAGG